GCUUCUGGGAGGAGGGGAUCUUGGGAGUGAUCCCACCACCGGAACUCACUGGAGUCCCUGUCCC
Molecule: microRNA precursor, 64 nt
Filed under: Saimiri boliviensis boliviensis (Bolivian squirrel monkey)
Lineage: Eukaryota; Metazoa; Chordata; Mammalia; Primates; Cebidae
Description: miRNA (ENSSBOG00000004423.1)
Source: RNAcentral